GACGAACGCUGGCGGCGUGCUUAACACAUGCAAGUCGAACGGAAAGGCCCUGCUUGCAGGGUGCUCGAGUGGCGAACGGGUGAGUAACACGUGGGUGAUCUGCCCCUUACUUUGGGAUAAGCCUGGGAAACUGGGUCUAAUACUGGAUAGGACCAUGCUGUAGGUGGUGUGGUGGAAAGAUUUUUUCGGUAAGGGAUGAGCUCGCGGCCUAUCAGCUUGUUGGUGGGGUAAUGGCCUACCAAGGCGUCGACGGGUAGCCGGCCUGAGAGGGUGGACGGCCACAUUGGGACUGAGAUACGGCCCAGACUCCUACGGGAGGCAGCAGUGGGGAAUAUUGCACAAUGGGCGCAAGCCUGAUGCAGCGACGCCGCGUGGGGGAUGAUGGCCUUCGGGUUGUAAACUCCUUUCAGCCAUGACGAAGCCUCUUUUGGGGUGACGGUAGUGGUAGAAGAAGCACCGGCUAACUACGUGCCAGCAGCCGCGGUAAUACGUAGGGUGCGAGCGUUGUCCGGAAUUACUGGGCGUAAAGAGCUCGUAGGUGGUCUGUCGCGUCAUUUGUGAAAGCCCGGUGCUUAACUCCGGGUUGGCAGGUGAUACGGGCAUGACUGGAGUACUGUAGGGGAGACUGGAAUUCCUGGUGUAGCGGUGAAAUGCGCAGAUAUCAGGAGGAACACCGGUGGCGAAGGCGGGUCUCUGGGCAGUAACUGACGCUGAGGAGCGAAAGCAUGGGUAGCGAACAGG
RNAcentral lists this ribosomal RNA (741 nucleotides) under uncultured Corynebacterium sp. RNAcentral describes it as "bacterial SSU rRNA". It matches the Rfam family "Bacterial small subunit ribosomal RNA", at positions 28 to 776 of the family's 1533-position model. The record is from RNAcentral. Lineage: Bacteria; Bacillati; Actinomycetota; Actinomycetes; Mycobacteriales; Corynebacteriaceae.